RNAcentral lists this unclassified non-coding RNA (240 nucleotides) under soil metagenome. RNAcentral describes it as "partial contains 5.8S ribosomal RNA, internal transcribed spacer 2, and large subunit ribosomal RNA". The record is from RNAcentral.
AACCUAGCACACCUGCGGUGUGUACCUGCGGAAGGAUCAUUACCGAGUUAGGGUAGUCACUCACUGCCCGACCUCCCAACCCUGUGUCUACCACACUUUGUCGUUGCUUCUGCGGACCGGUUGACCAACUGGUCAUGACCGCCGGGGGCUGGCUCUGUCCCCCCUGGAGAGCGUCCGCCGAUGGCCCAACCACAAAACUCUUGUACCGAAACGUGUCGUCUGAAUUAUGUUUGAGAAAUC